UUAAGCUUCUAAAAUCAUUACAGCUGAUCGUCAUCAUUUAUCCAUUUCGAUAAUUGGCUCUCUUCUGGGGCAAAACUUGAGAAGAGGGACAUCUGGAGAGAGAACAGUUACUAGAUUAACUUGGUGGGGAUUCUAUGCUUUACAACUUGCAACUACAACUUUUGCUGAUCGUCUCCAUUUGUCCAUUUCAAUAAUUGCCUCUCUUCUGGGGCAAAACUUGGGAAGAGAGACAUCUGGAGAGAAAACAGUUGCUAGAUUAACUUGGUGGGGAUUCUAUGCCUGACAACUUGCAACAACUACUUUUGAUUGUUCUCUUUUUGCUGGUUGAUAGUAGCUUCAUGAUUACAAUUUUUUCUCUCUUGACUUUUUCUUGAUUAAGCUUCUAAAAUCAUUACAGCUGAUCGUCUCCAUUUAUCCUAAAACGACAAGUGUAUGAAGCAGAUAUUAAGGAGUGACGGGUUGAAUUUGAACUUUUAUAA
Molecule: long non-coding RNA, 479 nt
Organism: Lycium ferocissimum
Lineage: Eukaryota; Viridiplantae; Streptophyta; Magnoliopsida; Solanales; Solanaceae
Exons: 2
Source: RefSeq, a predicted model, not a curated record